RNAcentral lists this ribosomal RNA (501 nucleotides) under uncultured bacterium. RNAcentral describes it as "partial 16S ribosomal RNA". It matches the Rfam family "Bacterial small subunit ribosomal RNA", at positions 30 to 523 of the family's 1533-position model. The record is from RNAcentral.
AUUGAACGCUGGCGGCAGGCUUAACACAUGCAAGUCGAGCGGGGUGAUGUAGCUUGCUACAUUACCUAGCGGCGGACGGGUGAGUAAUGCUUAGGAAUCUGCCUAUUAGUGGGGGACAACAUUCCGUAAGGAAUGCUAAUACCGCAUACGCCCUACGGGGGCAAGCAGGGGAUCUUCGGACCUUGCGCUAAUAGAUGAGCCUAAGUCAGAUUAGCUAGUUGGUGGGGUAAAGGCCUACCAAGGCGACGAUCUGUAGCGGGUCUGAGAGGAUGAUCCGCCACACUGGGACUGAGACACGGCCCAGACUCCUACGGGAGGCAGCAGUGGGGAAUAUAGGACAAUGGGCGGAAGCCUGAUCCAGCCAUGCCGCGUGUGUGAAGAAGGCCUUUUGGUUGUAAAGCACUUUAAGCGAGGAGGAGGCUACUUGGAUUAAUACUCUAGGAUAGUGGACGUUACUCGCAGAAUAAGCACCGGCUAACUCUGUGCCAGCAGCCGCCGUAA